AAUGAACGCUGGCGGCGUGCCUAACACAUGCAAGUCGAGCGAGAAAGUUCCUUCGGGAAUGAGUAAAGCGGCGGACGGUUGAGUAACACGUGAGAAUCUACCCUUUAGUGAAGAAUACCUUCGAGAAAUCGAAAUUAAUACUGCAUAAGUCCCUUCGGGGAGAAAAGUGGCCUCUUUGCUACUGCUAAAAGGAUGAGCUUGCGGACUAUCAGCUAGUUGGUGAGGUAAAGGCUCACCAAGGCUAUGACGGUUAGCCGGCCUGAGAGGGUGAACGGCCAGACUGGAACUUAGACACGGUCCAGACUCCUACGGGAGGCAGCAGUGAGGAAUAUUGCGCAAUGGGCGAAAGCCUGACGCAGCGACGCCGCGUGGAGGAUGAAGGUUUUCGGAUCGUAAACUCCUGUUAAGUGGGAAGAAAAGUCUGUGGUUAAUACCCGCAGAAAAUGACGGUACCAUUAUAGAAAACACCGGCUAACUACGUGCCAGCAGCCGCGGUAAU
RNAcentral lists this ribosomal RNA (499 nucleotides) under uncultured bacterium. Its description in RNAcentral is "bacterial SSU rRNA". It matches the Rfam family "Bacterial small subunit ribosomal RNA", at positions 29 to 524 of the family's 1533-position model. The record is from RNAcentral.